UACGUAGGGGGCUAGCGUUGUCCGGAAUCACUGGGCGUAAAGGGUUCGCAGGCGGAAAUGCAAGUCAGAUGUAAAAGGCAGUAGCUUAACUACUGUAAGCAUUUGAAACUGCAUAUCUUGAGAAGAGUAGAGGUAAGUGGAAUUUUUAGUGUAGCGGUGAAAUGCGUAGAUAUUAAAAAGAAUACCAGUGGCGAAGGCGACUUUCUGGCAAUCAUCAGACGCUGAGGUACGAAAGCGUGGGUAGCAAACAGG
RNAcentral lists this ribosomal RNA (252 nucleotides) under uncultured bacterium. RNAcentral's name for it is "partial 16S ribosomal RNA". It matches the Rfam family "Bacterial small subunit ribosomal RNA", at positions 524 to 776 of the family's 1533-position model. The record is from RNAcentral.